Non-coding RNA from Acyrthosiphon pisum (pea aphid), 47 nucleotides. Lineage: Eukaryota; Metazoa; Arthropoda; Insecta; Hemiptera; Aphididae. The record is from Rfam.
CCAUUGGCCUUCCUCAAGGCCAUUAAGUAUAUAAAUUGAUAAAAAAU